UGGCGACCGGCGCACGGUGAGUAACACGUAUCCAACCUGCCGAUAACUCGGGGAUAGCCUUUCGAAAGAAAGAUUAAUACCCGAUGGUAUAAUCAGACCGCAUGGUUUGAUUAUUAAAGAAUUUCGGUUAUCGAUGGGGAUGCGUUCCAUUAGGCAGUUGGUGAGGUAACGGCUCACCAAACCUUCGAUGGAUAGGGGUUCUGAGAGGAAGGUCCCCCACAUUGGAACUGAGACACGGUCCAA
This 243-nucleotide ribosomal RNA is filed under the name uncultured bacterium. RNAcentral describes it as "partial 16S ribosomal RNA". It matches the Rfam family "Bacterial small subunit ribosomal RNA", at positions 89 to 334 of the family's 1533-position model. The record is from RNAcentral.